GGAAGAAUGCCUUAUGGGUUGUAAACUGCUUUUAUAUGGGAAGAAUAAGGAGUACGCGUACUUUGAUGACGGUACCAUAUGAAUAAGCAUCGGCUAACUCCGUGCCAGCAGCCGCGGUAAUACGGAGGAUGCGGGCGUUAUUCGGAAUCAUUGGGUUUAAAGGGUCUGUAGGCGGGCUAUUAAGUCAGAGGUGAAAGGUUUCAGCUUAACUGAGAAAUUGCCUUUGAUACUGGUAGUCUUGAAUAUCUGUGAAGUUCUUGGAAUGUGUAGUGUAGCGGUGAAAUGCUUAGAUAUUACACAGAACACCGAUUGCGGAGGCAGGGGACUAACAGACGAUUGACGCUGAGAGACGAAAGCGUGGGGAGCGAACAGGAUUAGAUACCCUGGUAGUCCACGCUGUAAACGAUGGAUACUAGCUGUUUGGAGUAAUUUGAGUGGGUAAGCGAAAGUGAUAAGUAUCCCACCUGGGGAGUACGCACGCAAGUGUGAAACUCAAAGGAAUUGACGGGGGCCCGCACAAG
Molecule: ribosomal RNA, 521 nt
Filed under: uncultured bacterium
Lineage: Bacteria
Description: bacterial SSU rRNA
Rfam family: Bacterial small subunit ribosomal RNA
Source: RNAcentral